This 74-nucleotide transfer RNA is filed under the name Cordylochernes scorpioides. Its description in RNAcentral is "tRNA-Glu". Lineage: Eukaryota; Metazoa; Arthropoda; Arachnida; Pseudoscorpiones; Chernetidae. The record is from RNAcentral.
AAAUCCCACACCGGGAAUCGAACCCGAGCCUCCUGGGUGAGAGCCAAAUAUCCUAGCCACUAGACCACGUGAUU